RNAcentral lists this non-coding RNA (809 nucleotides) under Ischnura asiatica. Lineage: Eukaryota; Metazoa; Arthropoda; Insecta; Odonata; Coenagrionidae. The record is from RNAcentral.
CAAAUACUUCAUCUAAUAAAAUAAUUAACUAUAUUUUUUUGACUAACAAAUUAUUGUGAGUUUUAUUCUUGCUAAAUAAUCUUUUUAUUUUUAUUUUAUAUACCAUUUUUGGGCUUUCUAAAAGAAGAAUUUUGUAGUAUAAAAUAUUGUUUGUUAAGUUAACUUAGAUACAGUAAAUUAUGUAGAUUCGGUUAAAUUCGUGCCAGCAUCCGCGGUUAUACGAUUGAGUCAAAAGAUUAUUAUUGGUUAGUAGUAUUUAUUUAAAUUCUUAUUAUUGUUUGUAAUUUUAGGUUAAAUUUAUAUUGUUUUAUAAAUAAUAUAUAUAUUCAUGAUUCUACGAAAUUUAGAUCAUAGACAAGGAUUAGAUACCCUUUUAUACUAGACGUUAAUAUAUUACCUGGGUAGUAAUAGUUAAGUUCUUGAAACCCAAAGAAUUUGGCGGUAUUUUAGUCUUUUCAGAGGAACCUGUUGUGUAAUCGAUAAUCCACGUUUUUAUUUACUUAUGCUUGUACUCAGUUUUUAUACCUCCGUCAUAAGAAUAUUUUUUUAGAAUUAAUUUUCUUAAUUGUUAAAUACAUAUAUGUCAGGUCAAGGUGAAGCUUAUGCAUAAGUACUAAUGGGUUACAAUAAAUUUAUUUAUACGGAUUUUUUAAUUUAUAUUAAAAUUAAAGGUGGAUUUGUAAGUAAAGUUAAUUAAUUAAUUUUCUUGAUUUUAGCUCUAAAAUAUGCACACAUCGCCCGUCGCUCUCAUAAUAAAGUGAGAUAAGUCGUAACAUAGUAGAUUUAUCGGAAGAUGUAUCUAGUAAGUA